This 468-nucleotide ribosomal RNA is filed under the name uncultured bacterium. RNAcentral's name for it is "partial 16S ribosomal RNA". It matches the Rfam family "Bacterial small subunit ribosomal RNA", at positions 28 to 507 of the family's 1533-position model. The record is from RNAcentral.
GACGAACGCUGGCGGCGUGCUUAACACAUGCAAGUCGAACGGAAAGGCCCUGCUUUUGUGGGGUGCUCGAGUGGCGAACGGGUGAGUAACACGUGAGUAACCUGCCCUUGACUUUGGGAUAACUUCAGGAAACUGGGGCUAAUACCGGAUAGGAGCUCCUGCUGCGUGGUGGGGGUUGGAAAGUUUCGGCGGUUGGGGAUGGACUCGCGGCUUAUCAGCUUGUUGGUGGGGUAGUGGCUUACCAAGGCUUUGACGGGUAGCCGGCCUGAGAGGGUGACCGGCCACAUUGGGACUGAGAUACGGCCCAGACGCCUACGGGAGGCAGCAGUGGGGAAUAUUGCACAAUGGGCGGAAGCCUGAUGCAGCAACGCCGCGUGCGGGAUGACGGCCUUCGGGUUGUAAACCGCUUUCGCCUGUGACGAAGCGUGAGUGACGGUAAUGGGUAAAGAAGCACCGGCUAACUACGUG